Dermochelys coriacea (leatherback sea turtle) is the source of this 2486-nucleotide long non-coding RNA. RefSeq lists it as uncharacterized. The transcript has 3 exons. The record is from RefSeq and is a predicted model, not a curated record. Lineage: Eukaryota; Metazoa; Chordata; Testudines; Dermochelyidae.
CCAGUUUUGAUUUUAGAAGUUUCCAGGGAUGGAGAGUCCACCACAGCCCUAAAGACAAAGGAACCAAACAAUUUGAUCUCUGUGGUGGAUCCUGAGCAGGCUGGUCAGUAAAAGCUGAAAAGGAGAGUGAAGUUCUUUAAAUAGUCCAGUGACAUCACUGUACAUCACCAAGAGUAGAAUGGUAGAGCAGAUGGAAGUACAUAUUACCUGUUGUUACAACUUCCAGUAGACAUUAACUCAUUCUAAGGUGAGCCACUAGCUGGCAGCAUUAUAUAAAAUAUGAAUAAACUGCUGUUUAAGAAUACAUGUGACUGCUUCCAAAAGUAUUACCUGAUAACAGGUACGAUCCUGUGAAAAAUGGAAUUAAAAAGAACCUUGAAUAAUUCUUCCUUAGAGCCCAUAGAAGUAGCUACAGUAAGCUAUGUACAUGAGUCUUCUGGCAUUAACCUUGGAAACUGCUGCUUUAACGUCUUACUCAGACUGCAUCCUUGUGGCUGGUUUCUGUCUCUUUCUAAAAAAAAUGUCAAAGGAUGUAUUUUUCAUUAAAAGAUUACUGCUAGAAGGUGGAAAAAUCACAACUGGAAAUCAGUAUUAUUUAUUAUUAUUUUUAAAGAAUGUGUAGGAGUAGUCUGGGGUGGAGGAAUGAUCAGUUCAUUCUCCAUGGACAACAGUGUGGUGUCUGCUAAGAAGGUCAUACAGCCCCAGGCUUUAUUAACUUUAUCAUAGGAUGCUCCUUUAAAGGAAGUUCUGCGAGCUGUGGCCAACAGGUGAAGCCCUAGCAGAGUGGUCCAGUGCAGCUGUGCUGAUAUUGUGAGGUGGUAUUAGCAGGCUCUGGAGGGCAGACACCUUGCUGAUUCCAUAAAGAGACAAUCCCCCAUAUCAGUAGAAUAACCCGGGGGGGGGGGGAGGGAGUCUGCAAGGAGAUGCUUUUGAGUGUUUCUUCUCUUUGGCCUCCUCCAAUAGAAGCGGGCAAUCUGGCCCCACAAUUAUUACAUGAUUAUAUCUUAUAGUAGACAUCCUUAGAUUAUUUAUUUAUUUAUUCAUUAAAAAUAAACCCAAUCAAGUGAAGUGACUAAAAGAUGAAAUUAUCAAAAGAUUAUAAAUCUCCCUCAUUACUUGCUGCAAGCCUAAACAAAUUGCAAUGUGUGGGAAGCUGUUACACAAAAUUGUUAAGCAUUGUGGAGUUUGCAAGUAAUAUCCACUUGACACCAUCAUAUGCUUUUCACCCAAACAGCAUACUCUGGAGAGUUGUCGUGAUGUGAAGAUGCACAUCUACCAUAGGAAUGAGUUUGCUUAGAAAAAUACAUUUUUCUCUUGUAAACUUUACAUGAGAUUAUUUAAUUGUGCAAACAUUCCUUUGAUUUGAAAUCACUGUAAGUUCAAGUUUUUGUUUUCUAGUUAAUUGACUUUUGUGUGAUUCCAUAUGAGUGUAAAAUUACAUGUUCUGGAACUGAAAAAACAGCAGAGGGUGCUGCAGUUACAGGACUACCCAGGCAUAUACUCCAAAGUAGCUGCUGCAGUAAGCAGAUACAGUUACCGUGAAGACUUAAACUUUCAACGUUUAAUAGAUAAGUUAUAGAUUUUUUUUUUUAGUUCUAGUGACUCUAAUUCUGUCUUAACUAUACUGUAAAACUUCACUUACAGAAUAUGACUUACGAGAGUCAAACCCAUCAUUACCAUAUUGUCGUCUUUGCAGCUCCAUAAGAAUUCUGUCUGAGGCGUACCUAUUAGUGGAUUCUUACAAUGAUGGGUUACUUUCGGAUUUUCACUAGUAGUUUGCAUGAUAAAUUGCCAUUUUUAUUAUAAUAUUUAUUUUUUUGAGCAUUAGCCACUUAUAAUCUCUGCUAGGUGCAGAGGACAAUUAUACUGAUUUGGUAAUGUGCAAGAACUGAUAUGGAGACAUUUCCUUGUUGACUUCUCUGUGAAAAAGAGAAAAUAAUAAUACAUACCAAAUUAUUUCUCCAAGUUUAGUUAAAAAGGUGUUGGACUUAUCUGCUUUUUCUAGUUAUUGUUUUGUACAAUAACAUCUUGUAACAUAUUCAUUACAUGAGUAUGCAAAUACAAAACUCUCAGUUCCCAAACUGUUGUACAGUUGACUAUAGUAAUGCACUCAGAUAAAUGAAGGUAAGGGAAUAGUUAACCUAACAUAAAUUCCACCCAUGGUAAAAUUACAUGUUUAAUUGUAGAGUUCAAAGACCAAUGUAUUUUCUUGAUACAUAUUUUUUAAAACCUGUUUUGGUUGUUCGCUAAAAAUGUCAUAGAUUGAAACCUCAACAUAGAUUUCCAAAAGCAUGAUGAGUAGAUAUUUUUCUUGUUACUGAACUCAUUUUUUACAUUCUAUUAAUCAUAAACAAUAACAAAGACUCUCAUUAUCUAUUGAAUUGUUUUUACUCUAGUGAAUUUUGAUUGAGAUGCUAGAAAUUAAAAAACAUAAAUAAAAAGAAAAGGAGGACUUGUGGCACCUUAGAGACUAACAACUUUCUUUG